AUGCUUGCUUGUAAAAUUCAGAAGGAGCUGCAGGGGUUGAGUCAGGGUGACAAAUCAGUUGUGAAUUAUGUGUCCGAAUUGAAGAGAUUGUGGAGUGAGAUUGAUUACUUUGAUCCAAUUGAUACGGAGUGUGGUAAGUGUAUUGAGAAAUUUAACAAGUGGACGGAAAAGAGACGUGUGAGGGACUUCCUAAAUGGACUUCAUUCUAAGUAUGAAAACAGGAGGGCUGCACUGUAUGGUAGCAGAAAGCUUCCUACACUGGAGCAGGCAAUAUCAGCUAUCAUUAGUGAGGAAACCAGAUUGAAAUUAGAGGCAGCCGGGUCAGUGAUGCAAGGUAUCAUGCAGCGGCGAUCAGCACUCUAUGCAGCAGAGGGUGGAAAUUAUCAAAGGUCGGGAUCAAAUACAACUGAGAAGAAAUGCUUCGAGUGCGGUCAGCCAGGACAUUUGAAGUUUUCAUGCCCUGAGUUAAUGGGAGGCGGCAGAGGAAGAGGGCAGGACUGGCGUGGAAGAGGUCGUGGCCGUGGGCUUGAAGGACGAGGCUACCGUGGGCGAGGUACACGCCCUGCUGCUAAAGCAAACACGUCGGUGAUCACUGAAAAUACCACCCAAACUAUGAGUGUUGAGAUGACUGCUGAGGAUUGGGAGAAGUGGUGCCAAUUCAAGGGGCUUUCUCUAGGUGACAAGACAACUGUUGAAGCGCCUACCUCUGCUGCCUUAGCAAAUUUCGGUGGAACUUGGGACUGGAAUAAGACUUGGGACGGGGAUCAUGCAUGA
RNAcentral lists this ribosomal RNA (774 nucleotides) under Triticum aestivum (bread wheat). RNAcentral describes it as "partial small subunit ribosomal RNA". Lineage: Eukaryota; Viridiplantae; Streptophyta; Magnoliopsida; Poales; Poaceae. The record is from RNAcentral.